This 452-nucleotide ribosomal RNA is filed under the name uncultured bacterium. Its description in RNAcentral is "SSU rRNA". It matches the Rfam family "Bacterial small subunit ribosomal RNA", at positions 26 to 518 of the family's 1533-position model. The record is from RNAcentral.
AGGAUAAACGCUGGCGGCGUGCCUAACACAUGCAAGUCGAACGUCCUACGCAAGUAGGGAGUGGCGGACGGGUGAGUAACACGUGGGCAAUCUACCUUUCGGUGAGGAAUACCGGCGAGAAAUCGCCGACAAUACCGCAUACGCUUCGCAAGAAGCAAAGUCGCAAGACGCCGGAGGAGGAGCCUGCGCCCGAUUAGCUCGUUGGUGGAGUAAUGGCCUACCAAGGCGACGAUCGGUAGCUGGUCUGAGAGGAUGAUCAGCCACACUGGGACUGAGACACGGCCCAGACUCCUACGGGAGGCAGCAGUGGGGAAUAUUGGACAAUGGGCGCAAGCCUGAUCCAGCAAUGCCGCGUGGGUGAAGAAGGUCUUCGGAUUGUAAAGCCCUUUCGGCGGGACGAUGAUGACGGUACCCGCAGAAGAAGCCCCGGCUAACUUCGUGCCAGCAGCCGC